This 253-nucleotide ribosomal RNA is filed under the name uncultured bacterium. Its description in RNAcentral is "partial 16S ribosomal RNA". It matches the Rfam family "Bacterial small subunit ribosomal RNA", at positions 524 to 776 of the family's 1533-position model. The record is from RNAcentral.
UACGAAGGGGGCUAGCGUUGCUCGGAAUCACUGGGCGUAAAGCGCACGUAGGCGGGUUGGUAAGUCGGGGGUGAAAUCCUGGAGCUCAACUCCAGAACUGCCUUCGAUACUGGCGACCUUGAGUCCGGGAGAGGUGAGUGGAACUCCGAGUGUAGAGGUGAAAUUCGUAGAUAUUCGGAAGAACACCAGUGGCGAAGGCGGCUCACUGGCCCGGUACUGACGCUGAGGUGCGAAAGCGUGGGGAGCAAACAGG